This 484-nucleotide ribosomal RNA is filed under the name uncultured eukaryote. Its description in RNAcentral is "SSU rRNA". It matches the Rfam family "Eukaryotic small subunit ribosomal RNA", at positions 109 to 641 of the family's 1831-position model. The record is from RNAcentral.
GUUAUAGUUUAUUUGAUACAUUAAAUGGAUAACUGUAGGAAACUAGAGCUAAUACAUGCCAAAGUCGUAAGGCUGCAUUUAUUAGAUAUACCAAGACGGUGAAUCAUGAUAACUUAGCAAAUCGAAACCACGUUUCGAUAAAUCAUUCAAGUUUCUGACCUAUCAUGCUCUCGAUGGUAGUGUAUUGGACUACCAUGGCAGUCACGGGUAACGGAGAAUUAGGGUUCGAUUCCGGAGAAGGAGCCUGAGAAACGGCUACUACAUCUACGGAAGGCAGCAGGCGCGUAAAUUACCCAAUCCUAAAAUCGGGGAGGUAGUGACAAGAUAUAACAACGCGACUAAAAAUCGCGAUUGUAGUGAGGGUAUUCUAAACAUAGCUUCGAGUACGAUUGGAGGGCAAGUCUGGUGCCAGCAGCCGCGGUAAUUCCAGCUCCAAUAGCGUAUAUUAAAGUUGUUGCAGUUAAAAAAGCUCGUAGAUGCGCUU